This 720-nucleotide ribosomal RNA is filed under the name Komagataeibacter xylinus. RNAcentral describes it as "bacterial SSU rRNA". It matches the Rfam family "Bacterial small subunit ribosomal RNA", at positions 49 to 814 of the family's 1533-position model. Lineage: Bacteria; Pseudomonadati; Pseudomonadota; Alphaproteobacteria; Acetobacterales; Acetobacteraceae. The record is from RNAcentral.
UAACCAUGCAAGUCGCACGAACCUUUCGGGGUUAGUGGCGGACGGGUGAGUAACGCGUAGGGAUCUGUCCACGGGUGGGGGAUAACUUUGGGAAACUGAACCUAAUACCGCAUGACACCUGAGGGUCAAAGGCGCAAGUCGCCUGUGGAGGAACCUGCGUUCGAUUAGCUAGUUGGUGGGGUAAAGGCCUACCAAGGCGAUGAUCGAUAGCUGGUCUGAGAGGAUGAUCACCCACACUGGGACUGAAACACGGCCCAAACUCCUACGGGAGGCAGCAGUGGGGAAUAUUGGACAAUGGGCGCAAGCCUGAUCCAGCAAUGCCGCGUGUGUGAAAAAGGUUUUCGGAUUGUAAAGCACUUUCAGCGGGGACAAUGAUGACGGUACCCGCAAAAAAACCCCCGGCUAACUUCGUGCCAGCAGCCGCGGUAAUACAAAGGGGGCAAGCGUUGCUCGAAAUGACUGGGCGUAAAGGGCGCGUAGGCGGUUGACACAGUCAGAUGUGAAAUUCCUGGGCUUAACCUGGGGGCUGCAUUUGAUACGUGGCGACUAGAGUGUGAGAGAGGGUUGUGGAAUUCCCAGUGUAGAGGUGAAAUUCGUAGAUAUUGGGAAGAACACCGGUGGCGAAGGCGGCAACCUGGCUCAUGACUGACGCUGAGGCGCGAAAGCGUGGGGAGCAAACAGGAUUAGAUACCCUGGUAGUCCACGCUGUAAACGAUGUGU